AUAAGAGUUUGAUUCUGGCUCAGGACGAACGCUGGCGGCGUGCUUAAGACAUGCAAGUCGAGCGGAGCAUUUGGGAGCUUGCUUCUAGAUGCUUAGCGGCGGACGGGUGAGUAACGCGUGAGCAACCUGCCCUAUACAUCGGGAUAACGUUUGGAAACGAACGCUAAUACCGGAUAUGACCACAACCCCACAUGGGGAAGAGGUGAAAGGGUUUACUGGUAUAGGAUGGGCUCGCGUCUGAUUAGCUUGUUGGCGGGGUAACGGCCCACCAAGGCGACGAUCAGUAGCCGACCUGAGAGGGUGAUCGGCCACAUUGGAACUGAGAUACGGUCCAGACUCCUACGGGAGGCAGCAGUCGGGAAUAUUGGGCAAUGGAGGAAACUCUGACCCAGCAACGCCGCGUGAAGGAUGAAGGUCCUCGGAUUGUAAACUUCUGUCCUAUGGGAAAAAUAAAGUGAUGGUACCAUAGAAGAAAACCCCGGCAAACUACGUGCCAGCAGCCGCGGUGAUACGUAGGGGGUAAGCGUUGUCCGGAAUGACUGGGCGUAAAGGGUGUGUAGGCGGUUUAUUAAGUUGAAUGUGAAAGCCCGGGGCUUAACUCCGGAACUGCAUUCAAAACUGGUAGACUAGAGUGUGGGAGAGGUAAGUGGAAUUCCUAGUGUAGCAGUGAAAUGCGUAGAUAUUAGGAGGAACAUCAGUGGCGAAGGCGACUUACUGGAACAUAACUGACGCUGAGGCACGAAAGCGUGGGGAGCAAACAGGAUUAGAUACCCUGGUAGUCCACGCCCUAAACGAUGAUUACUAGAUGUUGGUGGUAUCGACUCCAUCAGUAUCGAAGCAAACGCGAUAAGUAAUCCGCCUGAGUAGUACGGCCGCAAGGUUGAAACUCAAAGAAAUUGACGGGGACCCGCACAAGCAGAGGAGCAUGCUGUUUAAUUCGAAGCAACGCGAAGAACCUUACCAAGACUUGACAUCCAAUGAAUGCCAUAGAAAUAUGUCAGUUUAGCAAUAAACAUUGAGACAGGUGGUGCAUGGUUGUCGUCAGCUCGUGUCGUGAGAUGUUCGGUUAAGUCCGGCAACGAGCGCAACCCUUAUGAACAGUUGCCAAUAUUAAGUUAGGAACUCUGUUCAGACUGCCGUGGAUAACACGGAGGAAGGUGGGGAUGACGUCAAAUCAUCAUGCCCCUUACGUCUUGGGCUACAGGCGUGCUACAAUGGCCACUACAAAGAGACGCAAGACCGCAAGGUGGAGCAAAUCUCAAAAAAGUGGUCUCAGUUCGGAUUGUGGGCUGCAACCCGCCCACAUGAAGCCGGAUUUGCUAGUAAUCCCGAAUCAGAAUGUCGGGGUGAAUUCGUUCCCGGGUCUUGUACACACCGCCCGUCACGCCAUGGGAGUCGGGAGCACUCGAAACCGGUGUCCUAACCAGCAAUGGAGGGAGCCGUCUAAGGUGAGACUGAUGACUGGGGUGAAGUCGUAACAAGGUAGCCGUACGAGAACGUGCGGCUGGAUCACCUCCUU
RNAcentral lists this ribosomal RNA (1519 nucleotides) under human gut metagenome. Its description in RNAcentral is "Bacterial small subunit ribosomal RNA". It matches the Rfam family "Bacterial small subunit ribosomal RNA". The record is from RNAcentral.